UAGGGAAUCUUCGGCAAUGGACGGAAGUCUGACCGAGCAACGCCGCGUGAGUGAAGAAGGUUUUCGGAUCGUAAAGCUCUGUUGUAAGAGAAGAACGAGUGUGAGAGUGGAAAGUUCACACUGUGACGGUAUCUUACCAGAAAGGGACGGCUAACUACGUGCCAGCAGCCGCGGUAAUACGUAGGUCCCGAGCGUUGUCCGGAUUUAUUGGGCGUAAAGCGAGCGCAGGCGGUUAGAUAAGUCUGAAGUUAAAGGCUGUGGCUUAACCAUAGUAGGCUUUGGAAACUGUUUAACUUGAGUGCAAGAGGGGAGAGUGGAAUUCCAUGUGUAGCGGUGAAAUGCGUAGAUAUAUGGAGGAACACCGGUGGCGAAAGCGGCUCUCUGGCUUGUAACUGACGCUGAGGCUCGAAAGCGUGGGGAGCAAACAGGAUUAGAUACCCUGGUAGUCCACGCUGUAAACGAUGAGUGCUAGGUGUUAGACCCUUUCCGGGGUUUAGUGCCGUAGCUAACGCAUUAAGCACUCCGCCUGGGGAGUACGACCGUAAGGUUG
This 550-nucleotide ribosomal RNA is filed under the name uncultured bacterium. Its description in RNAcentral is "bacterial SSU rRNA". It matches the Rfam family "Bacterial small subunit ribosomal RNA", at positions 355 to 896 of the family's 1533-position model. The record is from RNAcentral.